Non-coding RNA from Pelobates cultripes (western spadefoot toad), 206 nucleotides. Lineage: Eukaryota; Metazoa; Chordata; Amphibia; Anura; Pelobatidae. The record is from the annotation of a GenBank genome assembly.
UGUGAGUGUUAGGGUGCUGUGUGUGUGUUGGGGUGCUGUGUAUGUGUUAGGGUGAUGUGUGUGUGUGUGUGCUAGGUUGCUGUAUGUGUUAGGGUGCUGUGUGUGUGUGUUAGGGUGAUGUGUCAAUGUUAGGGUGAUGUGUCAAUGUUAGGGUGCUGGUGUUGGGGUGCUGUGUGAGUGUUAGGGUGCUGUGUGAGUGUUAGGGU